This 253-nucleotide ribosomal RNA is filed under the name uncultured bacterium. RNAcentral's name for it is "partial 16S ribosomal RNA". It matches the Rfam family "Bacterial small subunit ribosomal RNA", at positions 524 to 776 of the family's 1533-position model. The record is from RNAcentral.
UACGUAAGGGGCAAGCGUUGUCCGGAAUCACUGGGCGUAAAGCGCACGUAGGCGGUGCAGCAAGUCAGGGGUGCAAGCUCCAGGCCUAACCUGGAAACUGCCUCUGAAACUACUGUGCUUGAGGGUCAGAGGGGAAACUGGAAUUCACGGUGUAGCGGUGAAAUGCGUAGAUAUCGUGGAGAACACCCGUGGCGAAGGCGGGUCUCUGGGCCGUAACUGACGCUGAGGAGCGAAAGCGUGGGGAGCGAACAGG